UGUUCUCAGACUAGAUCUGGGAAAAAUUCAAACUGUGUGCCAUGCUGGUUCUUAGAAGAAUUUUGCUAUUUCAUCUAACUUGAAUAAAAGAUAUGUUGAAAACCCCUGAAGGGACAGGAAGAUCUUCAGAACACUCAUUCAUCCUUCAUCAAUUAUGGUAAAAGAUCUGACCACUGACUACUGAAAUACUGCAGAGCCUCAGCAUUGUUGGCUGGAAGAGGCUCAAAGACAUUCACUAAUUUUAACAUUAGUUAUAGGUUUGGGGCAGUCAUAGCUGCUGUGUGUUUAGUGGUCAGCAUAAACUCUUCAGCAAAGGUAUUUUCAAAGGAGGUGAUGUUGAGAAUGAUAGUUACUGUUGUCUGAGCCAAGAGCUGCUUCCAGAGGAGCACACUGAAACACUGAAAGAGUGCCUCAUUGUCUGCAUUUGCCUGGGCAGUUGAAACUCUCAAGUAGCUUCUGCUGGGGAUUGCUGUGCUUAUUCUGCCUAUACUGCCUUGAUAAAAAUUAUGGCAGUGCUUUAUUUAUAACCUGUCUCUGCUUCUGGACUACCCAAGCAAUUGUUGCCUUUUCUCAGGAAAUCAUAAGACUUACAGCUGGUGAAGCGCCUUGUUUCUUGGAGAGGUGAAUAGUGAUGAAAAAGAUGGAGGAGUUUUACAAUAGUACUUAAACACCUACAAAAGCAGCUGCCUUAUCAUUGUUUCCUUAACAAUCAUUAACGUACCAGGGAUCAACUAGAAUAAAUCCAAGCUGAAAGAUAUAAAUAGCCCCUUAGAUGCAGUCUGGUGUGAAAUAAGACUUACAAGGGCUAGCAGGAGCAGCAGGCUUUGCUCUUCCCUGUCUCA
Long non-coding RNA from Cyanistes caeruleus (blue tit), 842 nucleotides. RefSeq lists it as uncharacterized. The record is from RefSeq and is a predicted model, not a curated record. Lineage: Eukaryota; Metazoa; Chordata; Aves; Passeriformes; Paridae.